RNAcentral lists this ribosomal RNA (235 nucleotides) under Bacillus subtilis. RNAcentral's name for it is "partial 16S ribosomal RNA". It matches the Rfam family "Bacterial small subunit ribosomal RNA", at positions 1226 to 1459 of the family's 1533-position model. Lineage: Bacteria; Bacillati; Bacillota; Bacilli; Caryophanales; Bacillaceae. The record is from RNAcentral.
UACAAUGGACAGAACAAAGGGCAGCGAAACCGCGAGGUUAAGCCAAUCCCACAAAUCUGUUCUCAGUUCGGAUCGCAGUCUGCAACUCGACUGCGUGAAGCUGGAAUCGCUAGUAAUCGCGGAUCAGCAUGCCGCGGUGAAUACGUUCCCGGGCCUUGUACACACCGCCCGUCACACCACGAGAGUUUGUAACACCCGAAGUCGGUGAGGUAACCUUUUAGGAGCCAGCCGCCGA